Helianthus annuus (common sunflower) is the source of this 667-nucleotide long non-coding RNA. RefSeq lists it as uncharacterized. The transcript is spliced from 2 exons. The record is from RefSeq and is a predicted model, not a curated record. Lineage: Eukaryota; Viridiplantae; Streptophyta; Magnoliopsida; Asterales; Asteraceae.
CCAAGACCUUAGCAGUUUCCUCCAUUUGUCUCACCAUCUCUAUUUUAUACUCACUCUAGAGAGAGAGACGGACAGACAGACAUCAAGAGAGAGAAACCAAGCAUCACAAAAUUCAAAUCUUUUUUCCUUAAAGGUGGGUUCAUCUUCUCCAUCAGCAACACCAUAUAUCAACGGAGAAAUCAAAGGCAGUUGAAAAAGAUCACAGACCAUUCCUACCAGUUAUGAUUACUCUUUGAACAUUCUCGUUAUUGGAGAUUUAGGUGUUGGUAAGAGUCUUCUUCUUAGUUUUAUCUCCACUUCCCUGAAGACACUCUUCAAGUUAUUUCUCCAACAAUUGAAAGACAUUUUCUCCAAAUACUUGAAAUCAGUGAAUCAUCCGAAAUGUGGGCAAUUUGAAGGAAUAAUACUGGAUAAGUUGUUGUGAAAAAGCAUGUUGUGAAGAUUUUGUGCUCCCAUGCUAACACGCUCUGCGAUGAAAUAAUGGCUGAAUCGGUAGCAUACAACGUGGCGAGUAGGCUUAGUGUUUAAAACGUUUCAUGCAAACAAUAGUAGUAAAGACUAUGUUUUUGUUUUUUCGAUAUGUAGUUAUUUGUUUGUUUGGUUGGGUUAUUUUUUUUAUGUAAACUGGAUGUUUAGUUGGUUUGUAAUAUGUUUUUUGGAUUUGUUU